UUGACCUCGAAUCAGGUAGGAAUACCCGCUGAACUUAAGCAUAUCAAUAAGCGGAGGAAAAGAAACCAACCGGGAUUACCUCAGUAACGGCGAGUGAAGCGGUAACAGCUCAAAUUUGAAAUCUGGCUCUUCCGGAGUCCGAGUUGUAAUUUGUAGAAGAUGCUUUGGGUUGUGGGUUCGGCCUAAGUUCCUUGGAACAGGACGUCAUAGAGGGUGAGAAUCCCGUAUGUGGCCGAGGCCCGCGCCUAUGUAAAGCUCUUUCAACGAGUCGAGUUGUUUGGGAAUGCAGCUCAAAAUGGGUGGUAAAUUUCAUCUAAAGCUAAAUAUGGGCCAGAGACCGAUAGCGCACAAGUAGAGUGAUCGAAAGAUGAAAAGCACUUUGGAAAGAGAGUUAAACAGUACGUGAAAUUGUUGAAAGGGAAGCGCUUGCAACCAGACUUGGGCGCUGCCGAUCACCUUGAGUUUUCUCGAGUGCACUCGACAGCGCACAGGCCAGCAUCGGUUCGGGUGGCUGGAUAAAGGCCGUAGGAAUGUGGCUCUCUUCGGGGAGUGUUAUAGCCUACGGUGCCAUGCAGCCCAGCCGGACCGAGGACCGCGCCUUCGGGCUAGGAUGCUGGCGUAAUGGUUGUAAGCGACCCGUCUUGAAACACGGACCAAGGAGUCUAACAUCUAUGCGAGUGUUUGGGUGGUAAACCCAUACGCGGAAUGAAAGUGAACGUAGGUGAGAACCCCUUUGGGGCGCAUCAUCGACCGAUCCUGAUGUCUUCGGAUGGAUGGAUUUGAGUAAGAGCAUAGCUGUUGGGACC
This 806-nucleotide ribosomal RNA is filed under the name Erysiphe quercicola. Its description in RNAcentral is "eukaryotic LSU rRNA". It matches the Rfam family "Eukaryotic large subunit ribosomal RNA", at positions 1 to 816 of the family's 3401-position model. The record is from RNAcentral. Lineage: Eukaryota; Fungi; Ascomycota; Leotiomycetes; Helotiales; Erysiphaceae.